Molecule: ribosomal RNA, 449 nt
Filed under: uncultured bacterium
Lineage: Bacteria
Description: partial 16S ribosomal RNA
Rfam family: Bacterial small subunit ribosomal RNA
Source: RNAcentral
AACGAACGCUGGCGGCAUGCCUAACACAUGCAAGUCGAACGAGACCUUCGGGUCUAGUGGCGCACGGGUGCGUAACGCGUGGGAAUCUGCCCUUCGGUUGGGAAUAACACAGAGAAAUUUGUGCUAAUACCUUAUAAUGUCUUCGGACCAAAGAUUUAUCGCCGAGGGGUGAGCCCGCGUAGGAUUAGCUAGUUGGUGGGGUAAUGGCCUACCAAGGCGACGAUCCUUAGCUGGUCUGAGAGGAUGAUCAGCCACACUGGGACUGAGACACGGCCCAGACUCCUACGGGAGGCAGCAGUGGGGAAUAUUGGACAAUGGGCGAAAGCCUGAUCCAGCAAUGCCGCGUGAGUGAUGAAGGCCUUAGGGUUGUAAAGCUCUUUUACCCGGGAUGAUAAUGACAGUACCGGGAGAAUAAGCUCCGGCUAACUCCGUGCCAGCCGCCGCAGUAA